Molecule: ribosomal RNA, 1118 nt
Filed under: Postia tephroleuca
Lineage: Eukaryota; Fungi; Basidiomycota; Agaricomycetes; Polyporales; Postiaceae
Description: eukaryotic LSU rRNA
Rfam family: Eukaryotic large subunit ribosomal RNA
Source: RNAcentral
CCCUAGUGACUGCGAGUAGAAGCGGGAUAAGCUCAAAUUUAAAAUCUGGUAGCUUCGCUGCCCGAGUUGUAAUCUGGAGAAGUGCUUUCCGUGCUGGACCGUGUACAAGUCUCUUGGAACAGAGCGUCAUAGAGGGUGAGAAUCCUGUCUUUGACACGGACUACCAGUGCUUUGUGAUGCGCUCUCAAAGAGUCGAGUUGUUUGGGAAUGCAGCUCAAAAUGGGUGGUAAAUUCCAUCUAAAGCUAAAUAUUGGCGAGAGACCGAUAGCGAACAAGUACCGUGAGGGAAAGAUGAAAAGAACUUUGGAAAGAGAGUUAAACAGUACGUGAAAUUGCUGAAAGGGAAACGCUUGAAGUCAGUCGCGUUGGCCGGAACUCAGCCUGGCUUUGGCUUGGUGCAUUUUCUGGUUGACGGGUCAGCAUCAGUUUUGAUUGUCGGAUAAUGGUUGGGGGAAUGUGGCAUCUUCGGAUGUGUUAUAGCCCUCAGUCGCAUACGAUGGUUGGGACUGAGGAUCUCAGCACACCUUUAUGGUCGGGGUUCGCCCACGUUUGUGCUUAGGAUGCUGGCAUAAUGGCUUUAAACGACCCGUCUUGAAACACGGACCAAGGAGUCUAACAUGCAUGCGAGUGUUUGGGUGGAAAACCCGAGCGCGUAAUGAAAGUGAAAGUUGAGAUCCCUGUCGUGGGGAGCAUCGACGCCCGGACCAGACCUUCUGUGACGGCUCUGCGGUGGAGCAUGUAUGUUGGGACCCGAAAGAUGGUGAACUAUGCCUGAAUAGGGUGAAGCCAGAGGAAACUCUGGUGGAGGCUCGUAGCGAUUCUGACGUGCAAAUCGAUCGUCAAAUUUGGGUAUAGGGGCGAAAGACUAAUCGAACCAUCUAGUAGCUGGUUCCUGCCGAAGUUUCCCCAGGAUAGCAGAAACUCAUGUCAGAUUUAUGUGGUAAAGCGAAUGAUUAGAGGCCUUGGGGUCGAAACGACCUUAACCUAUUCUCAAACUUUAAAUAUGUAAGAACGGGCCGUCGCUUGAUUGGACCGCCCGGCGAUUGAGAGUUUCUAGUGGGCCAUUUUUGGUAAGCAGAACUGGCGAUGCGGGAUGACCGAACGCCGAGGUUAAAGUU